Molecule: ribosomal RNA, 492 nt
Filed under: uncultured bacterium
Lineage: Bacteria
Description: partial 16S ribosomal RNA
Rfam family: Bacterial small subunit ribosomal RNA
Source: RNAcentral
AGUGAACGCUGGCGGUAGGCCUAACACAUGCAAGUCGAACGGCAGCACAGUAAGAGCUUGCUCUUACGGGUGGCGAGUGGCGGACGGGUGAGGAAUACAUCGGAAUCUACUUUUUCGUGGGGGAUAACGUAGGGAAACUUACGCUAAUACCGCAUACGACCUACGGGUGAAAGCAGGGGAUCUUCGGACCUUGCGCGAUUGAAUGAGCCGAUGUCGGAUUAGCUAGUUGGCGGGGUAAAGGCCCACCAAGGCGACGACCCGUAGCUGGUCUGAGAGGAUGAUCAGCCACACUGGAACUGAGACACGGUCCAGACUCCUACGGGAGGCAGCAGUGGGGAAUAUUGGACAAUGGGCGCAAGCCUGAUCCAGCCAUACCGCGUGGGUGAAGAAGGCCUUCGGGUUGUAAAGCCCUUUUGUUGGGAAAGAAAAGCAGCAGGUUAAUACCCCGCUGUUCUGGCGGUACCCAAAGAAUAAGCACCGGCUAACUUCGUG